GCGGAUAUGGCGUAAUUGGUAGCCGCGUCAGACUUAGGAUCUGGUGCCAUUAACGGCGUGGGGGUUCGAGUCCCUUUAUCCGCA
This 84-nucleotide transfer RNA is filed under the name Prevotellaceae bacterium. RNAcentral's name for it is "tRNA-Leu". It matches the Rfam family "tRNA". From Rfam's summary of the family: Transfer RNA (tRNA) molecules are approximately 80 nucleotides in length. Their secondary structure includes four short double-helical elements and three loops (D, anti-codon, and T loops). Lineage: Bacteria; Pseudomonadati; Bacteroidota; Bacteroidia; Bacteroidales; Prevotellaceae. The record is from RNAcentral.